AGAGUUAAACAGUACGUGAAAUUGUUGAAAGGGAAACGAUUGAAGCCAGUCGUACUGGCGGGCAAUCAGCCUUUUGGGUGUGAGUGUGUGGGGCGUGAGGAGUUAAUCACCCUCAUCUUUACAUAUUCGUGCACUUUGGGUGUACUUGCUCGUGUGGUAGGUUAACAUCAAUUUUGAUCGUUAUAAAAUGAUCGGAGGAAUGUAGCUUCGAUCUUGUAUUGAAGUGUUAUAGCCUUCGGUAGAUGUGAUGAUUAGGAUUGAGGAUUGCAACGGAUACCCUUCGGGGCUACCUGUCUGAUCUCUGAAAGUUGCUCUGGUGCUGAAAGCUUGCUUAUGGCAUCAAAGUUGACGUUUAACAGGUUAGAACGGGAUAAAUUCGUUAAGGAUGUUGACGUAAUGGCUUUAAACGACC
This 412-nucleotide ribosomal RNA is filed under the name Rhizophagus fasciculatus. RNAcentral describes it as "partial large subunit ribosomal RNA". The record is from RNAcentral. Lineage: Eukaryota; Fungi; Glomeromycota; Glomeromycetes; Glomerales; Glomeraceae.